GAAAUGCGAUAAGUAAUGUGAAUUGCAGAAUUCAGUGAAUCAUCGAAUCUUUGAACGCACCUUGCGCUCCUUGGUAUUCCUUGGAGCAUGCCUGUUUGAGUAUCGUGAAAUCUUCAAAGUAAAUCUUUUGUUAACUCAAUUGGUUUCUACUUUGGUAUUGGAGGUCUUUGCAGCUUCACACCUGCUCCUCUUUGUUCAUUAGCUGGAUCUCAGUGUUAUGCUUGGUUCCACUCGGCGUGAUAAGUUAUCUAUCGCUGAGGACACUGUAAAAGGUGGCCAAGGUAAAUGCAGAUGAACCGCUUCUAAUCGUCCAUUGACUUGGACAAUACUUUUAUGAUCUGAUCUCAAAUCAGGUAGGACUACCCGCUGAACUUAAGC
RNAcentral lists this unclassified non-coding RNA (378 nucleotides) under plant metagenome. RNAcentral describes it as "partial contains 5.8S ribosomal RNA, internal transcribed spacer 2, and large subunit ribosomal RNA". The stretch from base 1 to 105 matches the Rfam family "5.8S ribosomal RNA", at positions 50 to 154 of the family's 154-position model. The record is from RNAcentral.